This 69-nucleotide transfer RNA is filed under the name Dipodomys ordii (Ord's kangaroo rat). It matches the Rfam family "tRNA". From Rfam's summary of the family: Transfer RNA (tRNA) molecules are approximately 80 nucleotides in length. The record is from Rfam by way of RNAcentral. Lineage: Eukaryota; Metazoa; Chordata; Mammalia; Rodentia; Heteromyidae.
GGAGGUUUAGCUUAGUGGUAGAGUGUUUGUCUAUCAUGCUCAAUGCCCUGGGUUCAAUCCCCAGCUCCA